Molecule: ribosomal RNA, 1099 nt
Filed under: Vibrio neocaledonicus
Lineage: Bacteria; Pseudomonadati; Pseudomonadota; Gammaproteobacteria; Vibrionales; Vibrionaceae
Description: bacterial SSU rRNA
Rfam family: Bacterial small subunit ribosomal RNA
Source: RNAcentral
ACGGGAGGCAGCAGUGGGGAAUAUUGCACAAUGGGCGCAAGCCUGAUGCAGCCAUGCCGCGUGUGUGAAGAAGGCCUUCGGGUUGUAAAGCACUUUCAGUCGUGAGGAAGGUAGUGUAGUUAAUAGCUGCAUUAUUUGACGUUAGCGACAGAAGAAGCACCGGCUAACUCCGUGCCAGCAGCCGCGGUAAUACGGAGGGUGCGAGCGUUAAUCGGAAUUACUGGGCGUAAAGCGCAUGCAGGUGGUUUGUUAAGUCAGAUGUGAAAGCCCGGGGCUCAACCUCGGAAUAGCAUUUGAAACUGGCAGACUAGAGUACUGUAGAGGGGGGUAGAAUUUCAGGUGUAGCGGUGAAAUGCGUAGAGAUCUGAAGGAAUACCGGUGGCGAAGGCGGCCCCCUGGACAGAUACUGACACUCAGAUGCGAAAGCGUGGGGAGCAAACAGGAUUAGAUACCCUGGUAGUCCACGCCGUAAACGAUGUCUACUUGGAGGUUGUGGCCUUGAGCCGUGGCUUUCGGAGCUAACGCGUUAAGUAGACCGCCUGGGGAGUACGGUCGCAAGAUUAAAACUCAAAUGAAUUGACGGGGGCCCGCACAAGCGGUGGAGCAUGUGGUUUAAUUCGAUGCAACGCGAAGAACCUUACCUACUCUUGACAUCCAGAGAACUUUCCAGAGAUGGAUUGGUGCCUUCGGGAACUCUGAGACAGGUGCUGCAUGGCUGUCGUCAGCUCGUGUUGUGAAAUGUUGGGUUAAGUCCCGCAACGAGCGCAACCCUUAUCCUUGUUUGCCAGCGAGUAAUGUCGGGAACUCCAGGGAGACUGCCGGUGAUAAACCGGAGGAAGGUGGGGACGACGUCAAGUCAUCAUGGCCCUUACGAGUAGGGCUACACACGUGCUACAAUGGCGCAUACAGAGGGCGGCCAACUUGCGAGAGUGAGCGAAUCCCAAAAAGUGCGUCGUAGUCCGGAUUGGAGUCUGCAACUCGACUCCAUGAAGUCGGAAUCGCUAGUAAUCGUGGAUCAGAAUGCCACGGUGAAUACGUUCCCGGGCCUUGUACACACCGCCCGUCACACCAUGGGAGUGGGCUGCAAAAGAAGUAGGUA